GACUCCAACCCAAAACUAAACAAUAUAUAGGAGUCUACGAAAACAUCAACCAAUACUCGUAGUCCAGCCUAUAUGGCAUAGGACCCGUAGUAUCAACAUCACAACCAGGAGAUCGGCCUAUAUGGCCAAGAUCCCUUAACAACAACAUUAUCACUAAACAACUCAACCAGUUAGUCACUCCCUUACCAAGAGAUGACUAACCUCAAUCAACAAGAUUAAUUUAACGAGCAAGCAUUUAAUUAAAUCUACUCAAUCAAUCUACUCAAUCAAACUGUUGCCCAGAUAGUUCGGCCUCAUGCUACGACACUAUCUUUAAAGAUAAC
This 323-nucleotide long non-coding RNA is filed under the name Brassica napus (rape). Its description in RNAcentral is "long non-coding RNA (BNAP_LNC026412)". Lineage: Eukaryota; Viridiplantae; Streptophyta; Magnoliopsida; Brassicales; Brassicaceae. The record is from RNAcentral.